RNAcentral lists this small RNA (655 nucleotides) under uncultured fungus. Its description in RNAcentral is "eukaryotic LSU rRNA". The stretch from base 253 to 406 matches the Rfam family "5.8S ribosomal RNA". Lineage: Eukaryota; Fungi. The record is from RNAcentral.
UGCGGAGGAUCAUUAUCGAAUAAACUUGAUCAGGCUGUUGCUGGCCCCUCCUGGGGUAUGUGCACGCUUGUCAUCUUUAUCAUUUCUCCAACUUGUGCACAUAUUUGUAGACCUGAUUAUUUUUGAAGAAAUUCAAGUUGGGGGACUGCUGUGCUUNNCAAAAGUCNGCUUUCCCUUGUAUUUUUCAGGUCUAUGUCAUUUUUCACAACCUCUAGAAAUGUGUUUAGAAUGAUAUAUAUAAAGUUAAUAUACAACUUUCAGCAACGGAUCUCUUGGCUCUCGCAUCGAUGAAGAACGCAGCGAAAUGCGAUAAGUAAUGUGAAUUGCAGAAUUCAGUGAAUCAUCGAAUCUUUGAACGCAUCUUGCGCUCCUUGGUAUUCCGAGGAGCAUGCCUGUUUGAGUGUCAUUUGACUUCUCUCAACCACAUUGUCUUUUCGAUGUGGCUUGGAUGUGGGGGGAAUUAUCUUUUGCAGACUUCUUUUGAUUAAGAAGCCGGCUCCCCUGAAAUGCAUUAGUGGUGUUCUGAGCUGCUAUUGGUGUGAUAAAUCUAUCUAUGCCUUUGGUGAUGCUGGUCAGCGCUGCUUAUAAACAAGACAUUAUGACAAAUUUGACCUCAAAUCAGGUAGGACUACCCGCUGAACUUAAGCAUAUCAAU